This 88-nucleotide transfer RNA is filed under the name Desulfovibrionaceae bacterium. RNAcentral's name for it is "tRNA-Ser". It matches the Rfam family "tRNA". From Rfam's summary of the family: Transfer RNA (tRNA) molecules are approximately 80 nucleotides in length. Their secondary structure includes four short double-helical elements and three loops (D, anti-codon, and T loops). Lineage: Bacteria; Pseudomonadati; Thermodesulfobacteriota; Desulfovibrionia; Desulfovibrionales; Desulfovibrionaceae. The record is from RNAcentral.
GGAGAGAUGGCAGAGUGGCCGAUUGCGGCGGUCUUGAAAACCGUUGAGGGGCAACCCUCCAGGGGUUCGAAUCCCUUUCUCUCCGCCA